RNAcentral lists this ribosomal RNA (1492 nucleotides) under Leptographium aureum. RNAcentral describes it as "SSU rRNA". It matches the Rfam family "Bacterial small subunit ribosomal RNA". Lineage: Eukaryota; Fungi; Ascomycota; Sordariomycetes; Ophiostomatales; Ophiostomataceae. The record is from RNAcentral.
UAAUAGAUGAGUUUGGUGAUGGCUCUGAUUGAACACUGUCCAAAUGCUUGACACAUGCUAAUCGAACGUUUAAUUUAACUAAUAAUUUUAUUAAAAGUGGUGAACAGGUGAGUACUUGAUUAUCAACCUACCUUAAAGCAAGGGGAAAUCCCUUAUAUUAACAAAGGUUAUUCCGUUUUAAGAUGAUUAGAUAAAUCAUAGAGAUAGGUAGUUGUUAAGGUAAUGGCUUAACUAGCCCAAAAUUCUCUUAGUCGAAACUGAAAUGGUUGAUCGACCACAUUGGGGCUGAAAAAAACCCAAUACAAGUGAGUACAGCAGUGGGGAAUAUUGGUCAAUGGCCUAACGGCUGAACUGGCAACUUGGAGGAAUGGCCUAUCUUAUUAAGUAAAUAGUAAGAAUUAGAGUGAAAUGAUGGUUAAAUCGAUUAUCGAAUAAAAUUCUAAAUAUAUAAAUUAUAAUGACUAUAUAUAUUUAUGUCUUGACUAAUUACGUGCCAGCAGUCGCGGUAAUACGUAAGAGACUAGUGUUACUCAUUUUUAAUAGGUUUAAAGGGUACCCAGACGGAAGAAAUUUGCCUGGAAAGGAACAAUUUCUAUCUAGAGUUUAAUAUAAGAAGGUCGUACUUGUGGAAUAGAGAUGAAAUACUUUUAUACCUAAUAAGGGACUGGUAAAGGCGAAAGCAACCUUUUAUGUAAAAACUGACGUUGAAGGACGAAGGCUUAGAACACGAAUAGGAUUAGAUACCCUAGUAGUCUUAGCAGAAAAUGAUGAAUGUCAUAGGUUAGGUUAUACUUAGUCUAUAAAUGAAAAUGUAAGCAUUUCACCUCAAGAGUAACGUGGCAACACGGAAACUGUAAUCACUAGACCGUUUCUGACAUCAGUAGUGAAGUAUGUUAUUUAAUUCGAUGAUCCACGAAAAACCUUACCACAAUUAGAAUUGUAUUUAUAUUAUUUAUAUUAUAAAUAUAACGAGUGUUGCACGGCUGUUUCCAGUUAAUGUUGUGAAACUAUGGCUUCGGCCAUGAAAUUAACGAAAACCCUUGCUUUAUUUAUAAAUAUUUUUUAAUAAAGCUGCUUUUAUCAUCAUACCGAUAAAAUAGUAGGGCCAAAGACAAGUCAUCAUGGCCUUUAUAUUGUGGGCUAUAGACGUGCCACAUAUUCCUAGACAAAGAGAUGCGAAAAUGCGAAUUUAAGCUAAUCUCAAAAAAUAGGAUAAAAUAGGAUAAGGAUUGUAGUCUGAAACUCGACUACAUGAAUAAGUAAUUACUAGUAAUCGUGAAUCACCAUGUCACGGUGAAUAAUAUCUCGGAUUGGUACUAACCACUCGUCGCAUGCUGAAAGGAGUGCGUGCAAUAAGUUUGCUUUCUUGUUGUAAGUAAGUAAAUAAUAGGAUUUAGAUGUUACAAUAAGAUUCUUCAUGUGCAUAACUCUGAUUAGUGUUAAGUCGAAAUACGGUUCGUGUAGUGGAAGUUGCACGGAGCUAAUUAAAACU